GCAAUCUGCCCAUAACUGGAGGAUAGCUCCCCGAAAGGGGAAUUAACACUCCAUAAGAUAUUAGAGUGGCAUCACUCAGAUAUUAAAUCUACGGAGGUUAUGGAUGAGCAUGCGUCUGAUUAGCUAGUUGGUAGUGUAAUGGACUACCAAGGCGAUGAUCAGUAGGGGAACUGAGAGGUUGAUCC
This 185-nucleotide ribosomal RNA is filed under the name uncultured Bacteroidota bacterium. Its description in RNAcentral is "uncultured Bacteroidetes bacterium partial 16S ribosomal RNA". It matches the Rfam family "Bacterial small subunit ribosomal RNA", at positions 121 to 306 of the family's 1533-position model. The record is from RNAcentral. Lineage: Bacteria; Pseudomonadati; Bacteroidota.